UUCUUUGCCGGUGGAGUAUCAUCAAGAUUCACAUACAUACAUACCAACUAGCUAGCUUUUAGGGCUUCUGGAUGGGUUAGUUAGCCUGUUUAAUUUGGUAUGAGAAUCUUGAUGAUGCUGCAGCGGCAAUGCA
This 133-nucleotide microRNA precursor is filed under the name Ipomoea nil (Japanese morning glory). RNAcentral describes it as "mir-172 microRNA precursor family". It matches the Rfam family "mir-172 microRNA precursor family". Rfam says of the family: mir-172 has been experimentally verified in Arabidopsis thaliana. This family is thought to target mRNAs coding for APETALA2-like transcription factors. Lineage: Eukaryota; Viridiplantae; Streptophyta; Magnoliopsida; Solanales; Convolvulaceae. The record is from Rfam by way of RNAcentral.